UACGGGGGGAGCAAGCGUUGUUCGGAUUUACUGGGCGUAAAGGGCGCGUAGGCGGUCGUGACAAGUCACUUGUGAAAUCUCCGGGCUUAACUCGGAACGGUCAAGUGAUACUGUCGGACUGGAGUACUGCAGGGGAGACUGGAAUUCCUGGUGUAGCGGUGGAAUGCGCAGAUAUCAGGAGGAACACCGGUGGCGAAGGCGGGUCUCUGGGCAGUAACUGACGCUGAGGAGCGAAAGCGUGGGGAGCGAACAGG
Molecule: ribosomal RNA, 254 nt
Filed under: uncultured bacterium
Lineage: Bacteria
Description: partial 16S ribosomal RNA
Rfam family: Bacterial small subunit ribosomal RNA
Source: RNAcentral